CGCCUUGCCAGCCCGCUCAGAACUCAAAGGAAUUGACGGGGGCCCGCACAAGCGGUGGAGUAUGUGGUUUAAUUCGAUGCAACGCGAAGAACCUUACCUGGUCUUGACAUCCCGGAGACCCUUAGGAAACUAGGGGGUGCUUCCAUCUGGAAGAAUCUGGAGACAGGUGCUGCAUGGCUGUCGUCAGCUCGUGUCGUGAGAUGUUGGGUUAAGUCCCGCAACGAGCGCAACCCUUGCCUUUAGUUGCCAGCAGUUCGGCUGGGCACUCUAAAGGGACUGCCGGUGUUAAACCGGAGGAAGGUGGGGAUGACGUCAAGUCCUCAUGGCCUUUAUGACCAGGGCUACACACGUACUACAAUGGCCGAUACAAAGGGCAGCGACACUGCGAGGUGAAGCCAAUCCCGUAAAAUCGGUCUCAGUCCGGAUUGGAGUCUGCAACUCGACUCCAUGAAGUUGGAAUCGCUAGUAAUCGUGGAUCAGCAUGCCACGGUGAAUACGUUCCCGGGCCUU
This 510-nucleotide ribosomal RNA is filed under the name uncultured Desulfobulbus sp. RNAcentral describes it as "bacterial SSU rRNA". It matches the Rfam family "Bacterial small subunit ribosomal RNA", at positions 903 to 1382 of the family's 1533-position model. Lineage: Bacteria; Pseudomonadati; Thermodesulfobacteriota; Desulfobulbia; Desulfobulbales; Desulfobulbaceae. The record is from RNAcentral.